Molecule: long non-coding RNA, 301 nt
Organism: Carassius carassius (crucian carp)
Lineage: Eukaryota; Metazoa; Chordata; Actinopteri; Cypriniformes; Cyprinidae
Exons: 3
Source: RefSeq, a predicted model, not a curated record
AGGGAUAUGUGAGAUGUUUUGGCAAGGCUGGAGGACUUGAAGAAGCGCAAGGCUGCUGCGCAGAAGGGGACGCUCGCCGAGCUAUUGCCACGGUCACUUCAGCCAGGGCGACAGCCAAGGAACUUGUCAAAGCAGCAGUUUAAAAAGGUGUUUGAUAUGCUGAAAUACAGUGCUUCUAGAGGUAAUGAGGAGCUACCUGAUGAUUCUGUUGGAUUCAUCUGGGUCUUGGUCUUGGAAAUCUCCAAGCUCACCAUGUCCGGCUUCCAGAAGAGCAGCGGAGUCUCCCACCAGAGACUCUUCC